UUACGGGAGGCAGCAGUGAGGAAUAUUGGGCAAUAGGCGCAAGCCUGACCCAGCCAUGCCGCGUGAAGGAUGACUGCCCUAUGGGUUGUAAACUUCUUUUAUACGGGAAGAAACUUUCGAACGUGUUCGGAAUUGACGGUACUGUAUGAAUAAGCAUCGGCUAACUCCGUGCCAGCAGCCGCGGUAAUACGGAGGAUGCAAGCGUUAUCCGGAUUCAUUGGGUUUAAAGGGUGCGUAGGCGGGUUGAUAAGUCAGUGGUGAAAUCCUGCAGCUUAACUGUAGAACUGCCAUUGAUACUGUCAACCUUGAAUGCAGUUGAGGUAGGCGGAAUGUGUAAUGUAGCGGUGAAAUGCGUAGAUAUUACACAGAACACCGAUUGCGAAGGCAGCUUGCUAAACUGUGAUUGACGCUGAGGCACGAAAGCGUGGGGAUCAAACAGGAUUAGAUACCCCGGUAGC
This 458-nucleotide ribosomal RNA is filed under the name uncultured bacterium. RNAcentral's name for it is "bacterial SSU rRNA". It matches the Rfam family "Bacterial small subunit ribosomal RNA", at positions 339 to 794 of the family's 1533-position model. The record is from RNAcentral.